RNAcentral lists this ribosomal RNA (441 nucleotides) under uncultured bacterium. RNAcentral describes it as "bacterial SSU rRNA". It matches the Rfam family "Bacterial small subunit ribosomal RNA", at positions 340 to 773 of the family's 1533-position model. The record is from RNAcentral.
UACGGGAGGCAGCAGUGGGGAAUAUUGCACAAUGGGCGCAAGCCUGAUGCAGCCAUGCCGCGUGUAUGAAGAAGGCCUUCGGGUUGUAAAGUACUUUCAGUCGUGAGGAAGGUGUUAAGGUUAAUAACCUUAGCAAUUGACGUUAGCGACAGAAGAAGCACCGGCUAACUCCGUGCCAGCAGCCGCGGUAAUACGGAGGGUGCGAGCGUUAAUCGGAAUUACUGGGCGUAAAGGGCACGCAGGCGGUUAAUUAAGUUGGAUGUGAAAUCCCCGGGCUUAACCUGGGAAUGGCAUUCAAGACUGGUUAGCUAGAGUCUUGUAGAGGGGGUAGAAUUCCGAUGUGUAGCGGUGAAAUGCGUAGAGAUGUGGAGGAAUACCGGUGGCGAAGGCGGCCCCUGGGACAAAGGCUGACGCUCAUGUGCGAAAGCGUGGGGAGCAAAC